AUAUAUAUAUAUGUAUUAAAUAAAUAUUUUAUGAUAUAUAUAUUUGUAGAUGGUACAAGAGUUGACUUCAGAAAUAUUUAACAAAAAAUAUAUAAAAUAUAAAAAUCUAUUUAAUCUUUAGUUAUAUUGACAGUUUCAAUUUAGCAAAUAUAUGAAAAAUAAAAAUAUGUAAUUCUACUACUUGUACGUAAUCACAAGUAUAACAGAUUGUAUUUAAUUGAUCUGAAAAAGCAAUAUAAAGAUGCAGGGGCAUGCCAUUGAGUAAAGAUAAAUUUCUUUGGAUGUGGGGGAAAAGACACACAUGUAUUGAUAAAAUUUCAUUGAUUUGAGGGCGGUUAUUGUGAUUCAAAAAAACUUAUACAUUAAUACUUUAAAAUGUAAUUGAAUAAGAGUGGUAAGCAAGCCAAAGUCGUCCCAAUUCUAUACAUUUUAAAAUCUUUGUCUUUUGUUGUAAACGGGGUGAAGCAAAUAACAACCAUGGCUAUCAAGUUUUUUAUGCAAUAAAAAGUCAUUUAAGGUUGAUAAGUAAGGAAAGAAUUGUAGAGAAUACUUAUUUACAAUAUGGGCUUUUACACUUGUUGGAUGUAUCAUAUGCAUUUUGCUAAAUAUGAGGAUCAACAAGGAAAAAUACAAACAAACAACAGAGAUCCAAAUACAAUUAUAAUAAUAUUAAUGAUAAUAAUGACAAAUGGGUGUUUGUUCUGCAUGUCACACCAGUGCACCUUAAAUAUUUUGCAGAGAUGCAUGGUAAUCUUUAAAUUCUUUAUCACAAGUGCACUAUAUGACAUUGAAUUAAAAUAAAUAGUGUGAUAUCCAAUGCUUGGAAAUAUAGAAGAUAGAUCCUUGAAAUAAAUAAAUAAAAAAUAAAAAAUAAAAAAAAAAAACUCAAAUUGCGAUUUGAAUCAUUGCAAAUAUAAUUGAAAUAAAUUUGUUACUUCAGAGAAUGUUAAAUAAAUAAAUACAUAUGGAUUGAUAGUUUAUUUUCUUUUCUGUUCUUUUCAACAUUUUUUUCACAGUUUUUACAACAUCAUAUAUGUGUUUUCUUGAAAGAUGGCAUGUUUUAUGUACAAAAUUAGAUAUGUAUUUGUGUUCCCACAUGUAAACUAUUUAAAAACAAUUGUUCAUAUGUCGCUCUUACGAAUAAUGCUACAGUGUAAAUCAAGCGUGUAGUUGUGGAGUUUUGUGAAAUAAGCCAACAUUGAGCUCUUAGACAAAAACGAACAUUUUAAAAAUUAUUUACAAGGAAUAAGGUUAGGCCAAAUGGUUGUAUUGCCACAUGUUUUUCAAAAUAACAUUUGUACAUGGUCAAGUCUUAGUAAUUAUGCUCCCUAUCCAUUGUUUGCUUAUUGUCCUAGAGUUUAAAGGCAGCAAGUUUUUUCUUUAUUACAUUUUUUCAAUAUAAGCUACAAAG
RNAcentral lists this long non-coding RNA (1411 nucleotides) under Physcomitrium patens. Its description in RNAcentral is "long non-coding RNA (PPAT_LNC007212)". The record is from RNAcentral. Lineage: Eukaryota; Viridiplantae; Streptophyta; Bryopsida; Funariales; Funariaceae.